GGUAUAGCUCAAGUGGUAGAGCACAUGCUUAGCAUGCAUGAGGUCCUGGGUUCAAUCCCCAGUACC
Molecule: transfer RNA, 66 nt
Filed under: Camelus bactrianus (Bactrian camel)
Lineage: Eukaryota; Metazoa; Chordata; Mammalia; Artiodactyla; Camelidae
Also listed under: 3 other names
Rfam family: tRNA
About the family: Transfer RNA (tRNA) molecules are approximately 80 nucleotides in length. Their secondary structure includes four short double-helical elements and three loops (D, anti-codon, and T loops).
Source: Rfam by way of RNAcentral